RNAcentral lists this long non-coding RNA (1281 nucleotides) under Mus pahari (shrew mouse). RNAcentral's name for it is "predicted gene 28140 (MGP_PahariEiJ_G0005910.1)". Lineage: Eukaryota; Metazoa; Chordata; Mammalia; Rodentia; Muridae. The record is from RNAcentral.
UUGUUCCUACAAUAAAGUCUGUGGCUGUGAUGCUCACAGUAUAUGAGACCUAAUAUUCCACCAUGCUAUUUCUAUUCAAGAGUCACACCAAAUGCUAAAUUAUACUUUCUUCAAUUAAAAAAAAGAUUUAAACAACACUGUCCCCCGCCCUCCAAUUCUCUUGGUUUUCUGAAAUCAGGAUGAAUCAACACAAGCAAUAAGGAACAUGCUGGAAACUUGUAUCCCAGAGUUGAAAUAUCUAGAAAGACUAAUCCAUUUCUGAUUUUGUUUUUGUUUUUUUUUAAAGUUAUGAAGCUACAGCCCUGUUUACAUUCCAGUGAAGUAUUUUAGCAAUUUAUAGCUAAUUUGUCAAUGGUCAUGCAGCUGUAGGCUGUGCAGUUGGAAAACAAAAUAGACUGUACCUCUCCCUUCACGUUUACAUAGACUCUGAAAGCCUGGUGCAGCGCAGGAUGCGAGCCCCCAGAGUCAUUAGGAAGGUCCACCAGCCUCUGAGGGUGGAGGGAUGUUUGCAUUAUAACCCAACACAUCAUUAAGGACACAAUUGUUAUUUAAUGUGGCACAAUCAUCUUUCUACCCUUCGUGAAAUGCACUUAAUUCUAUUUUGUGCCAAUUUCUCCUUCCUCAGAUCCCCUCUAGAUCCUCCCAGAAGGACCACAGCUACUGUUGGUGAGGAUGGCAGUACCCGGAGCCAAUGCAGACACCAUUCAUCCAUCUGCAGGCACCGCAGGGGCCAGCAGCCAGACCACCACUUCCCAGUCCCGGAAGCUGUGGCAUCUAUAAAUAACAUUGUAGCACUACAUAAGGUGAGAGAAACCAGUGCUGCACGAAUUGUACAAUGAAGAAUUUUGAAUAAAAAGGGAUUUAAAUGGUACUUUGGUUUCAAUAGUAAAAUUAAAAGGAUGAUCAAACCACAGAAGAGAAAUAAACAGAUGUUGCUCUGAUAGCUGGAUUCCUAAGGAAAUCAACUAUAGAUUUCAUAAAGUAUUAAUACUGGCUACAUAAUCAGCAUGAUUUGGCCAGUAUCUAAAAGUCAUUAGGAAGUGCAAGAGGUGUCAAACACACACUGUAUCCAGUGUGUGCUGCUGUCUCCCCUGAAAUCUCCAUGCAGAUCAUUCUGUAUAACUUAAUUAGCGAAGUUAAAAUUAAGAUGAGACUCCAGUGUGUUUAGGCGAAACAAUUUCUGUGAGAGGACACUUCAUUAAAACAUUUAAUAAUGCAACAACUUCUGCUUUUCAAACAGCUCGCUGAAAGAAAAAUAAUAUUUUUUGCCAAUUAAUAAAA